AUGGAUGGUCAAGUGCCACAGUCGGUCACGCUCCGCAUUGGAGACAUUUGGCUUGAUGUGCCAGUUGGUCCAUGUGCGGCUUCAACAAAUCAGCAUCUGGAUAAUAUGACUGCAUCACCAACUGAACAUGACCAAGGAAUGGAAGUCUUCUCUCCACUCAAGUUUGGGGGAAGUAUGAGGGCAGACAGAGAAGGAAAAGGGAAGACAAUGGACAAACUCCACUAUGAGCAACCUCCGAAUGGGGGCAAUACCAUGAUUAUAUUUCCCUCCUCAUCGUUUCUUCAUGGAAGGACGUCAAAGGUUCAGAAUAAAGUUCAAGUUGAUGCAUCAGAGCCUAUUCUUCCUCGGGACGAUAAAUCCAUUGGAGAAUGCUCUGAGAGGUUCUCAAGUUUCCCCUUGAAUGCAAGCAAAAGCACCACAAUUCCCAUGGCUAUGAAACAUGUCAUGUGA
RNAcentral lists this ribosomal RNA (450 nucleotides) under Triticum aestivum (bread wheat). Its description in RNAcentral is "partial small subunit ribosomal RNA". The record is from RNAcentral. Lineage: Eukaryota; Viridiplantae; Streptophyta; Magnoliopsida; Poales; Poaceae.